RNAcentral lists this ribosomal RNA (741 nucleotides) under uncultured bacterium. RNAcentral's name for it is "bacterial SSU rRNA". It matches the Rfam family "Bacterial small subunit ribosomal RNA", at positions 63 to 811 of the family's 1533-position model. The record is from RNAcentral.
UGCGCGAGACAGCUACCUUCGGGUAGUGAGUAAAGCGGCGAACGGGUGAGUAACGCGUGGGUAAUCUACCUUUAAGUUAGGGAUAACUUCUCGAAAGGGAAGCUAAUACCUAAUAAUAAUAAAGAUGGCUUUGCUAUCGCUUACAGAUGAGCCCGCGUCCCAUUAGCUUGUUGGUAGGGUAAAGGCCUACCAAGGCAACAAUGGGUAGCCGACCUGAGAGGGUGAUCGGCCACACUGGGACUGAGACACGGCCCAGACUCCUACGGGAGGCUGCAGUGGGGAAUCUUCCGCAAUGAGCGAAAGCUUGACGGAGCAACGCCGCGUGAGUGAUGAAGGCCUUCGGGUCGUAAAGCUCUGUCCUUAGGGAAGAACACCCCAGUUGAUAAUACCAGCUGGGAUUGACGGUACCUUUGGAGGAAGCCUCGGCUAAUUACGUGCCAGCAGCCGCGGUAAUACGUAAGAGGCUAGCGUUGUCCGGAAUCACUGGGCGUGAAGGGUGCGCAGGCGGUCUAGUAAGUCAAGAGUGAAAUCCAUCGGCUCAACCGGUGAACUGCUUUUGAAACUAUUACACUUGAGGACAGGAGAAGGAAGUGGAAUUCCUAGUGUAGUGGUGAAAUACGUAGAUAUUAGGAAGAAUACCAAUGGCGAAGGCAGCUUCCUGGCCUGAUCCUGACGCUGAGGUACGAAAGCUAGAGUAUCAAACGGGAUUAGAUACCCCGGUAGUUCUAGCUGUAAACGCUG